UCCACGCUGUAAACGAUGAGUACUAGCUGUUGGAUUCGGUGUAAAGGAUCUAGUGGCGCAGCUAACGCGUUAAGUACUCCGCCUGGGGACUACGGUCGCAAGACUAAAACUCAAAGGAAUUGACGGGGACCCGCACAAGCGGUGGAGCAUGUGGUUUAAUUCGACGCAACGCGAAGAACCUUACCUGCCCUUGACAUCUAGCGAACUUUCCAGAGAUGGAUCGGUGCCUUCGGGAACGCUAAGACAGGUGCUGCAUGGCUGUCGUCAGCUCGUGUUGUGAAAUGUUGGGUUAAGUCCCG
RNAcentral lists this ribosomal RNA (299 nucleotides) under uncultured bacterium. RNAcentral describes it as "partial 16S ribosomal RNA". It matches the Rfam family "Bacterial small subunit ribosomal RNA", at positions 794 to 1089 of the family's 1533-position model. The record is from RNAcentral.